Molecule: non-coding RNA, 28 nt
Filed under: Trypanosoma brucei brucei
Lineage: Eukaryota; Euglenozoa; Kinetoplastea; Trypanosomatida; Trypanosomatidae
Source: RNAcentral
CAUACAAGAGUCAUAUACGCGAGAAAGU